ACUCAUAUCACCACUGAAACGAGCAAGAGGAUCCUUUCUCUCUGUUUUCAGUUCUCCUUUUGCUGUUGGGACUGUCCUGAAGUCUCUGAUGUUUUUUGAGGUGUCUCCAAAAUCUGCUCCCUUUUGCCUUCCAGUUACUCUUGGGGUUUUGGCACACACAGAGCUGCAGCCUCAUCAGCUCACAGGGAGCCUGUGUGGCUGAGCUGGGGAGCAGCUCUCUGGGUGGUUUGGAGUUGGCAGGAAGGUUUCUUUCUCCAUUUUUCUAAUUUCACAGAGGACCUGGCUCACUUCUUCUGCCCAGCCUGAAGGGAGAAUAGCUAGUGAAAAGGGAGGGCAGGUAGAACACCCAUCCCAGGGAGUGACCAGAGGAGAACAGGGAAGGUGUUGUCUGGAAACCAGGUGAUAAAAAUGUGAUUUCCAAACAUGUCCAGCCACAGGCCUGACCCUGUCAUGUCAAGGGUAGCACUCUUCAUCACCUCAGGGAAAAUGGAUUCAUGCCAAAGCAAAGGGAUCUUGCUGAUUUUCCUGUGGAAAAAGGAGGGAUGCAUCCAGCUGCCAUCUUCCUGGCAUGGCACACACUGUCCACCAUCUCCACAACAGGAAUUCGCUCUGCUGGGCAUCAGAUUCAAGCCUUGUGAUAAUCUGAAGGAGCUGGUUUUGAAUCAUUUGUACAGCUGUUCAGAGGACUAGAGAGGAUAUUAUAUAAUUUGUCCAAGUAAAAUCCCAUUUUUAGCACAAUCAAAAUGUGAUCAGGAUCCCUGGUAUUCACUACUUUUUUCCUAAUAUUGCCUCACAGCAUUUCUCCAUAGCAAAGAUAAUUAAUUAGCAUGUUCAUUUCAGUGGCAACUUAAAGAAUUGAGUGUAUAUAUUUCACAGAGUCAGUUUUCCUAAUUAUUAUCUGAGAUGCUUAUUUUGACUCAAUUUUCGAUUCCUCCUGAGAGGAAGAGAGCUAAUCCACUCUGAAUAUUUUCCUUCUCAAAUUAUUUCUAGUGCUUAGUGUUGGAAACCAAUCCUUUACAAGAAACUGAUCUAGAAGCUGUUGAAGAAUUUUUUGCCUUCUGCUUUCAGUAAGCACUGCAUUGGAUUUGGAAGUAAAUUGGAUAGAUGAGCUUUUCUGGAACUGGUGAUGCUUCUCUUGUUCUGAAGCUAAGCCCUAAAUUUGAUGAUAUUUCACAAUUGCCUUGCAAAAUUAGGAAAGGUAUCUUAAAUGACAAAAAUAUCUUCUUUUUAUCUUCCUAUUAAACUAGAGAAGAUUGAUUUUUAAUGAAAAAUGUGUGAGGGGCAUUUAGGGAGAAAAUAUGUUUCCUGCUUAGAGUAUUUUCCCAGGCAGAAGUUUCUCUAGGCAGCCUUGGUUUUGGUUUUUAGUUUUCCAAAACAUUUUA
This is a long non-coding RNA of Passer domesticus (house sparrow), 1382 nucleotides long. RefSeq lists it as uncharacterized. Lineage: Eukaryota; Metazoa; Chordata; Aves; Passeriformes; Passeridae. The transcript is spliced from 3 exons. The record is from RefSeq and is a predicted model, not a curated record.